GGAUGUGAGGGUGAUCUGGCUGUGACAUUUGUCACCCCAUUGAUCGCCAGGGUUGAUUCGGCUGAUCUGGCUGGCUAGGCUGGUGUCCCCUUCCUCCCUCACCGCUUCAUGUGCAUUAGUCCCUCCCGAAGCUCCUCCCUCAGUCAAAGAGGAUGGCCUUCCCCAAAUAGAGACGGACCAGUCUUCGGUCUGAGAGUAUAAGAGUAGCUGCGCUCCCCUGCUAGAACCUCCAAACAAGCUCUCAAGAUAUAGAGGAGAGCAAAUUGUUUAACAAUCAGGAAUCUAAAGGUAAGAGUAUAGCAGAUGAGAUUU
Unclassified non-coding RNA from Erinaceus europaeus (western European hedgehog), 312 nucleotides. Its record names the gene 7SK. It matches the Rfam family "7SK RNA". Rfam says of the family: 7SK was discovered as an abundant small nuclear RNA in the mid-70s but a possible function has only recently been suggested. Two independent studies have found that 7SK RNA binds the CDK9/cyclin T complex (known as elongation factor P-TEFb). P-TEFb activates transcription by phosphorylating the C-terminal domain of RNA polymerase II. The record is from Ensembl. Lineage: Eukaryota; Metazoa; Chordata; Mammalia; Eulipotyphla; Erinaceidae.